AUUGAACGCUGGCGGCAUGCCUUACACAUGCAAGUCGAACGGCAGCGGGGGAGAAGCUUGCUUUUCCUGCCGGCGAGUGGCGAACGGGUGAGUAAUACAUCGGAACGUGCCCUGUAGUGGGGGAUAACUAGUCGAAAGAUUAGCUAAUACCGCAUACGACCUGAGGGUGAAAGUGGGGGACCGCAAGGCCUCAUGCUAUAGGAGCGGCCGAUGUCUGAUUAGCUAGUUGGUGGGGUAAAGGCCUACCAAGGCGACGAUCAGUAGCUGGUCUGAGAGGACGCUCAGCCACACUGGGACUGAGACACGGCCCAGACUCCUACGGGGGGCAGCAGUGGGGAAUUUUGGACAAUGGGCGAAAGCCUGAUCCAGCAAUGCCGCGUGUGUGAAGAAGGCCUUCGGGUUGUAAAGCACUUUUGUCCGGAAAGAAAUGGCUCUGGUUAAUACCUGGGGUCGAUGACGGUACCGGAAGAAUAAGGACCGGCUAACUACGUGCCAGCCGCCGCAGUAA
Molecule: ribosomal RNA, 508 nt
Filed under: uncultured bacterium
Lineage: Bacteria
Description: partial 16S ribosomal RNA
Rfam family: Bacterial small subunit ribosomal RNA
Source: RNAcentral